RNAcentral lists this ribosomal RNA (417 nucleotides) under uncultured beta proteobacterium. Its description in RNAcentral is "bacterial SSU rRNA". It matches the Rfam family "Bacterial small subunit ribosomal RNA", at positions 9 to 433 of the family's 1533-position model. The record is from RNAcentral. Lineage: Bacteria; Pseudomonadati; Pseudomonadota; Betaproteobacteria.
GAGUUUGAUCUUGGCUCAGAUUGAACGCUGGCGGCAUGCCUUACACAUGCAAGUCGAACGACGCUAGGGGCAACUCUAGCGAGUGGCGAACGGGUGAGUAAUACAUCGGAACGUGUCCUGUCGUGGGGGAUAACCAGUCGAAAGACUGGCUAAUACCGCAUGACCUCGCAAGAGAAAAGCGGAGGACCGCAAGGCUUCGCGCGAUUGGAGCGGCCGAUGUCGGAUUAGCUAGUUGGCGGGGUAAUGGCCCACCAAGGCGACGAUCCGUAGCUGGUUUGAGAGAACGACCAGCCACACUGGGACUGAGACACGGCCCAGACUCCUACGGGAGGCAGCAGUGGGGAAUUUUUGGACAAUGGGGGCAACCCCUGAUCCAGCCAUGCCGCGUGUGUGAAGAAGGCCUUCGGUUGUAAGCAC